RNAcentral lists this long non-coding RNA (288 nucleotides) under Zostera marina. RNAcentral describes it as "long non-coding RNA (ZMAR_LNC001034)". Lineage: Eukaryota; Viridiplantae; Streptophyta; Magnoliopsida; Alismatales; Zosteraceae. The record is from RNAcentral.
UCGAUUGUUGUUAUUAGGCCAUACCUUGGAUUUGGUUUGACUAUCCCGUGCGAUGCCCUUGUUGCCAUUUUCGUAUCCACAAUUUGGGCGACUUCGGUGUCUUCGGUACUUUCGAUUUGUUCUCCGGUGACUUCCGUUUCUUCUUCAUUUUCUUCGAAGUCGUAGGUAGAGUCAGUUAGUUUCUCAGCUGGAUCAUUCGAACUAUUUUCUUGGCUUUGGGAGACGGAUUCGUGACCGUUCUGUUGCUGUACCGGAUCCACUCGAUCUUGAUUUACUGAUUUUGAUUCC